AAAUUGUACAUAUUAAGAAAUAUAAAGCACACAACAACAAAUUACUUCAGAACAUAACAGAUUGUACACCAGCAGUAUAAAACACACAACUACAAGUUACUUCAGAACAGAACACAUUGAACAUAAGAAAUAUAAAACACACAACAACAAAUUACUUAAGAACAUAACAGAUUGUACACCAGCAGUAAAAAAACACACAACAACAAGUUACUUCAGAACAGAACACAUUGAACAUAAGAAAUAUAAAACACACAACAACAAAUUACUUCAGAACAUAACAAAUUGUACACCAGCAGUAAAAACAUACAACUGCAAGUUACUUCAGAACAUAACAAAUUGUACAUAAGAAAUAUAAAACACACAACUACAAGUUACUUCAGAACAGAACAAAUUGUACAUAAGAAAUAUAAAACACACAACAACAAAUUACUUCAGAACAUAACAGGUUGCACACCUGCAGUAUAAAACACAACUACAAGUUACUUCAGAACAUAACAGAUUGUACACCAGCAGUAUAAAACACACAACUUCAAGUUACUUCAGAACAGAACAAAUUGUACAUAUUAAGAAAUAUAAAGCACACAACAACUAAUUACUUCAGAACAUAACAGAUUGUACACCUGCAGUAUAAAGCACAAAACUACAAGUUACUUCAGAACAUAACAGAUUGUACACCAGCAGUAUAAAACACAUAACUAUAAGUUACAUCAGAACAUAACAGAUUGUACACCAGCAGUAUAAAACACAUAACUA
Molecule: long non-coding RNA, 753 nt
Filed under: Mytilus galloprovincialis (Mediterranean mussel)
Lineage: Eukaryota; Metazoa; Mollusca; Bivalvia; Mytilida; Mytilidae
Source: RNAcentral